This 253-nucleotide ribosomal RNA is filed under the name uncultured bacterium. RNAcentral describes it as "partial 16S ribosomal RNA". It matches the Rfam family "Bacterial small subunit ribosomal RNA", at positions 524 to 776 of the family's 1533-position model. The record is from RNAcentral.
UACGAAGGGGGCUAGCGUUGUUCGGAAUUACUGGGCGUAAAGCGCGCGUAGGCGGAUCGCUAAGUCAGGGGUGAAAUCCCAGGGCUCAACCCUGGAACUGCCUCUGAUACUGGCAAUCUGGAGAUCGGGAGAGGUUGGUGGAAUUCCGAGUGUAGAGGUGAAAUUCGUAGAUAUUCGGAGGAACACCAGAAGCGAAGGCGGCCAACUGGCCCGAUACUGACGCUGAGGCGCGAAAGCUAGGGGAGCAAACGGG